Molecule: non-coding RNA, 31 nt
Filed under: Mus musculus (house mouse)
Lineage: Eukaryota; Metazoa; Chordata; Mammalia; Rodentia; Muridae
Also listed under: 1 other name
Source: RNAcentral
UGAGAUAUAUCUGCCAAUACUCUGAAGUCCU